GUAGUGGGUAUUAGGGGACACUAAAGGAAAGUGUCUUCACGUCCCUCAUUGACUGAUGUGUCUCUCUGUCUCUGUCAGUCUUGUUCAAGCUCUCAGUGUCCGUCCAACUCGUCCGUCUUUCAGUCCAAAGCAAAGUUGGUGGUGGACGAUGGGACAGGUGAGGCUCAUGUCUGGUUCUCAGGUGCGCUGGUUCGUCCUCUGCUGCGAUUGGCUGAUUCUCAGUGGGAGGGGCUUCAGAGAGCGCUCAGGGUCAGAGGUCAUGUCAGAGUCUACCCCCGGGGGCGGAGCCUGGUGUGUGACUCUGAGGACCCUCUGCUGCACUUCCUGUUGUGUGUGUGCGGCAGUGACGCUGUGUGUCGUCAGCUCUCUCUCACCUGCAGGAAACACAACAACCAGCGAG
Plectropomus leopardus (leopard coralgrouper) is the source of this 400-nucleotide non-coding RNA. Lineage: Eukaryota; Metazoa; Chordata; Actinopteri; Perciformes; Serranidae. The record is from RefSeq and is a predicted model, not a curated record.